ACUCCUACGGGAGGCAGCAGUCGAGAAUCUUCCGCAAUGGCCGCAAGGCUGACGGAGCGACACCGCGUGCAGGAUGACACCCUUCGGGGCGUAAACUGCUUUUAUGUCUGAAGAAGUACGCUGACAUUAAGACAUGAAUAAGGGUCCGCCAAACUCGUGCCAGCAGCGGCGGUAAUACGAGUGACCCGAGCGUUAUCCGGAAUCAUUGGGCGUAAAGGGUCCGCAGGCGGUUCUGCGCGUCCCUUCGUUAAAUCUCACGGCUCAACCGUGAAACCGCGAAGGAUACGGCAGAACUAGAGGCUGGGAGAGGCUGACGGAAUGGUAGGUGUAGGGGUAAAAUCCGUUAAUAUCUACUAGAACACCAAAGGCGAAGGCAGUCAGCUGGAACAGUCCUGACGCUCAGGGACGAAAGCGUGGGGAGCGAAGGGGAUUAGAUACCCUGGUAGCGAGUAG
This 453-nucleotide ribosomal RNA is filed under the name uncultured bacterium. RNAcentral's name for it is "bacterial SSU rRNA". It matches the Rfam family "Bacterial small subunit ribosomal RNA", at positions 335 to 802 of the family's 1533-position model. The record is from RNAcentral.